This is a microRNA precursor of Homo sapiens (human), 77 nucleotides long. It matches the Rfam family "mir-1297 microRNA precursor family". The record is from Rfam. Lineage: Eukaryota; Metazoa; Chordata; Mammalia; Primates; Hominidae.
UGUUUAUCUCUAGGGUUGAUCUAUUAGAAUUACUUAUCUGAGCCAAAGUAAUUCAAGUAAUUCAGGUGUAGUGAAAC